Long non-coding RNA from Solea senegalensis (Senegalese sole), 890 nucleotides. RefSeq lists it as uncharacterized. Lineage: Eukaryota; Metazoa; Chordata; Actinopteri; Pleuronectiformes; Soleidae. The transcript has 2 exons. The record is from RefSeq and is a predicted model, not a curated record.
CAGGUAGAGAAAACAGUCAGACAGGACACAGAUAGCACCUUGUCGGCUUCUUGAAGUCUGCUUUAAACCGUUUGGUUGCUUGAGUCGAGCUGUGCUAAGGGAGUCGUUGGGACAUUAAAGGAACAAAUUAGGAGUGGGACUCGAGGCUCCAGGGAGGGCUGUGGUGGCAUUGCAUCACUGAUAAGCAGACAGUCAUUCAGCUCAGGCCUGUGAUAACGUGCCAGAGCCCAGGAUUUCAACAGCGAGCCUGAAACCCUGGAGCCACAGAGCAGGACAGGCCCAGUCUCGCUCAGACUCCGACUCCAACUCAAGAAAAGGGGAGAGGCCGUCAUCCAGUUGCAGCUGCAUUCAAACGCCACCCCCCCUCAACCUCGGAGGCUUCCUCAUAAAUCACACCGUCUCAGUGGAGACGCACUCUGCACCAGGUGCCUCCAUUCUGUGCCUUAAUAGUAAAGCUUAAGGCUCUCCUUAAUGUAACUUUCACUCAGUGGUCCUACAAAGAAUAUACAAAGCUGUGUAUUUUUUGGUCAUGUAAAUUGUACAUGUGUGUGUGUUUCACCUCAGACAUCAACUGCAAGAAUAUUCCAUGUGUUCUAUCCUUCAUUCCACCGGAGUCUGUAUCCACUGUCAGCCAGAUUUCAGUGGUGUGAAGUGUAUGAGACAUGGGGAUAUGGCUUCACACGCUACACGCCGCUUUACGCACAUAAUAAGUCAGACAAGUCAACCUUGUACUUUCAAUGAUGGAAACUUUUUUAUUGUUUAUCCGUGCUUCUGUGCUUCGUUUUUUUUCUUGUGAUCUACAGAUGAAAAACGAUUUGUAUCUGUAAGGACAUGCUGUGAUGUGAAUAAAUAUUGUGACCUUGUGAAUAAAUAUUGCGACCUUGUGCCCA